GACGAACGCUGGCGGCGUGCUUAACACAUGCAAGUCGAACGGAAAGUCCCUUCUGUUGUGGGGUGCUCGAGUGGCGAACGGGUGAGUAACACGUGAGUAACCUUCCCUUGACUUUGGGAUAACUUCAGGGAACUGGGGCUAAUACCGGAUAGGAGCUCCUGCUGCAUGGUGGGGGUUGGAAAGUUUCGGCGGUUGGGGAUGGACUCGCGGCUUAUCAUCUUGUUGGUGGGGUAGUGGCUUACCAAGGCUUUGACGGGUAGCCGGCCUGAGAGGGUGACCGGCCACAUUGGGACUGAGAUACGGCCCAGACUCCUAAGGGAGGCAGCAGUGGGGAAUAUUGCACAAUGGGCGGAAGCCUGAUGCAGCAACGCCGCGUGCGGGAUGACGGCCUUCGGGUUGUAAACCGCUUUCGCCUGUGACGAAGCGUGAGUGACGGUAAUGGGUAAAGAAGCACCGGCUAACUACGUG
RNAcentral lists this ribosomal RNA (468 nucleotides) under uncultured bacterium. RNAcentral's name for it is "partial 16S ribosomal RNA". It matches the Rfam family "Bacterial small subunit ribosomal RNA", at positions 28 to 507 of the family's 1533-position model. The record is from RNAcentral.